RNAcentral lists this microRNA precursor (193 nucleotides) under Oryza barthii. RNAcentral describes it as "MIR812 microRNA precursor family". It matches the Rfam family "MIR812 microRNA precursor family". Lineage: Eukaryota; Viridiplantae; Streptophyta; Magnoliopsida; Poales; Poaceae. The record is from Rfam by way of RNAcentral.
AAUAAGUGUUGUUUAUAUUUAACGUUUGAUCGUUCGUCUUAUUUAAAUUUUUUUUAUGAUUAGUUUUUUAUUGUUAUUAGAUGAUAAAACAUGAAUAAUACUUUAUGUGUGACUAUUUUUUAUUUUUUUAUAUUUUUUUAAAAUAAGAUGGACGGUUAAAUGUUGGACAUACAUACCUAGUUCUGUACUUAUU